GCAUAAGGACCAAAUGAUGACACUAAGGUACACUUUUGGUUGGAAGGUCCAUUCCUAUAUCCUUUUUUCCUCCUAACGGUGGGGAUGGAUUUUGCUUUUUCAAACUUUUGUAUGUGAUUUUCAUCUCUAUACUUAAUGAGACAAAAGGAAAAUGGAAGAUCACUAGCUGUGGAAGGAAGCAGAAAUUCCAAUUCUCUAUCUUUUACCUCAUGAUUUAUUGAUUUCUCUUUUCCUUGGUCAUUUUAAUUUCUUUUGACUAAAUCUUGGACAGCUGAAAGAAGAAAAACCAGAAAAAU
RNAcentral lists this unclassified non-coding RNA (296 nucleotides) under Hevea brasiliensis (rubber tree). Lineage: Eukaryota; Viridiplantae; Streptophyta; Magnoliopsida; Malpighiales; Euphorbiaceae. The record is from RNAcentral.